RNAcentral lists this long non-coding RNA (255 nucleotides) under Linum usitatissimum (flax). RNAcentral's name for it is "long non-coding RNA (LUSI_LNC000592)". Lineage: Eukaryota; Viridiplantae; Streptophyta; Magnoliopsida; Malpighiales; Linaceae. The record is from RNAcentral.
UCACUGCUUGAAUGGGAAGAGAUUUCAAAGGAAAGGGAUAUGCAUGAUUUUCUCCUACUCAGGAGCCAUUUGAAUUCUGGGGUGGUUGAUUUUUAAGGAUAAAGGAUAUUGCUUUUUGAGUGAUGCUGCACAAAACUUGUCUUUCCCCCGUUGUGACCAGAACUUCUCCUCUCUUAGCUGUCGUAACCAGCAGAAUCCCACUAAUGUCGCUUCUCCAACAUAGCUACCAUCACCACACUUUAUUACAUCCUCCGC